CCGGCCUACAAGGAGAAACCAGGACAGGGCUAGUUUGAGCUUCAGGAUUGGUGAUGCCAGGAGGAGGAAGACACACAAAAAGGAGAUGGGGUCCCUUGCCAUUCCUUGGGUUCCCAAACCUCUGGACCCUGGGUGGGAGCCCUGAUGCUGUCUGUCCUCUGUCACGCUGGAGACGGGUUAUCUCUCCCUCCACUAGACUGCGUCCCCUAGGAGAACUGGAACUCAACCUAAGUCAUCUCUAGUUUUCAAUGCCCAGCCUGAUACCUGACCCACAGAGAACCACAAUAAAUAUUGCUGGAAACCUCCCUCUUUAUGUCAUCAACACCUGAAAGAAGCAACUCUUGUUCAUCUUGUCUCAGUGCACAGGGGCACAGAGUAGAUGUUCAAUGAAGGCUUGCUGAAUGAAUGAACAGAAUUUGGAAAGAGAGAGGCGAGAAUGGGCCAUGGGGUGGAAGGUGUGUAACUUUGGACGAGUGACUUAGCCUCUGAGUGUUAGUUUCCAGAUCUGGCAAAUGGCGAUAACAACUACCUUGCCAGGCCUGUUGUGAAGGAUAAAGAUUUUAUGUAAGUAAAGCCCCUGGUGUGCAGUAACCAGUAGAUUAAUUAAACCAGCAGUUUGUAAAUGACAUGCAAUCAGUAAAGCUGCUCUGGGGGGAUUUCUCAUAAGAGCAGUUCCCCGACCGACCGGAGUC
Molecule: long non-coding RNA, 692 nt
Organism: Manis javanica (Malayan pangolin)
Lineage: Eukaryota; Metazoa; Chordata; Mammalia; Pholidota; Manidae
Source: RefSeq, a predicted model, not a curated record